GUAAUGUGAUUAAUUUUGUUUCCCUCUUUGGCAGUAUUGCCAUACUGGUAUUUGUGGAGCUGAGUUGCCAUCUGGUUAAAGACAUCAGAGUUCAGCCCUGGGAAGCUCUGUCAGCCUCUGAGUGAAGGUGCAUCAACGUGAAGGAAGGAGAAGCCUGAAGAAGGGUGACCUGGGGUGGAAGCUAGCCUUGGAUGUUGCUCUGCCGAUCAGGUUUUCUCGUGAGAAGCUUAGCCAUUUGCUGGCUCUGUAUCUCAGUGUUUCCCUCUUACUGACCUUGGCCUUCAAGCGUUUGAGUUCAGUUUUCAGGUUUAUUUGGGGAUCAGAGAAAUUAAUGUAAGAAAGUGCUCUGUGCACUGUAAAACCAAUUUUAAUGGAAUGCACAAACGGAUGUAGAAACAGUUUUCGCAGCUUGGCCUUUUUGCAUCACGCAGCUCCACUCCCUCUAGAAAACAGGCAAGGUAAGACACGGGAGUUAAAACUCAAGUCUGAGCAUUUUGCUGCUAAUGAGCAGCUCCACCACAGGUUUAUUCCUGCUCCUUGAGGGCAGGGAAGGAGCAUCUCUUAUUAAUCUUUGCGCAUCUUCUCCUCACUGGCACUUCUUACUGGUGUCCAGGUGGAGCACAAUGCUUGCUUAUAGGUGGAUUAGAUUGAGUUGAAUAUUUUACUGUGAUUUGAAAGAAAGAGCUGGAAAUAGUGCUCCAGCUUUGUUUGUAGUGGGCCAUGCUGAGGACUCUGGCAUCUUCGAGAAAGUGGCCCUGCCUGGGGCUUUGAUGUUGAUCAUAGUGUUUUUCACACACGGAGGGGGACACCUGAUCUCUAACAUGCUGCCCACUGGUGGGGGCUGGCGUGUCCUGUCCACUUCACCACAGUCAUGGACUCUGUCACAGUCUCUAGCCCAAGCUCAGCAUCAGCUCUGAACACCCUGUGGUCUAGACUCAUCUCCCUCCCAUUGUCGACACAUAGAAGUGCCUCUAUCUCCCCAGCCCACAUCACAGCCUUUGCUGACUGGUGGGCCAGGCAGAAGUGGGCAGUCCUCAUGCAUCUGGAUGAGGCCCAACUGAAAGGUGCAAGGCUGAGGAAAGCCAUUCCCUCUGCUUUGCCAUAGAGAAUAAACAACUGCAGACCUCCUGGAUCAGUGUCAUGGGCAGAAUCAAGACAAUACAAUAGUAAGGAUUUGGGACAAGGCAGGUAAUAAGGCCGCUAAGGCGAGAAGCUGGGCCCAAGCCUAAGAAAGCGGUGAGUCUGAAGCAGAUGGCUGCUUGGCUGCUGAGU
This is a long non-coding RNA of Trichechus manatus latirostris (Florida manatee), 1272 nucleotides long. RefSeq lists it as uncharacterized. The record is from RefSeq and is a predicted model, not a curated record. Lineage: Eukaryota; Metazoa; Chordata; Mammalia; Sirenia; Trichechidae. The transcript has 3 exons.